Molecule: ribosomal RNA, 481 nt
Filed under: uncultured bacterium
Lineage: Bacteria
Description: partial 16S ribosomal RNA
Rfam family: Bacterial small subunit ribosomal RNA
Source: RNAcentral
GAUGAACGCUGGCGGCGUGCUUAACACAUGCAAGUCGAACGAAGCCGUUUUUUUGAUUUCCUUCGGGACUGAUUAUUUUGUGUCGGAGUGGAGGACGGAGUAAUAACUCGUGGAUAACCUUCCUUGUAGAGGGGGACAACAGUAAGAAACGGCUGCUAAUACCGAAUACACUCACUUCAUAUCAUUUUGAUGCGAGAAAAACUCCGGUGGUAUAAGAGGGAUCCGCGUUGGAUUAGGUAGUUGGUGGGGUAACGGCCCACCAAGACGACGAUCCUUAGCCGAGAGGGGAGGGUGGCCGGCAACAGUGGGAAUGCGAGACGGACCAACCUCCGACGGGAGGCAGCAGUGAGGAAUAUUGAACAAUGGGCGAAAGCCUGAUGCAGCGACGCCGCGUGAGAGAAGAAGUAUUUGUUGAUGUAAAGCUCUAUCAGCAGGGAAGAUAAUGACGGUACCUGAAGAAGAAGCACCGGCUAAAUACGUG